AUGGAGCUUUUUCGAAACUGUCUUGAUGACUGCGGGCUGGUGGACCUUGGCUUUUCUGGACCGAAAUUCACCUGGACAAAUCGGCAAGACGCGCAAUGUAAUGUGCGUGUCAGACUUGAUCGCGCCGUGGCUAAUGGAGAUUUUACUGCACGAUUUGAGUUUUAUCAAGUGGAGAACAUUAUUACUACGACCUCUGACCACUAUGCGGUGGCCAUCUCCCUCGACUCCCAACGUGUGUUGGCGGACCGGCCUCCUGUGCAGCAUGGGUUCCGCUAUGAGGCUAUGUGGCGUCGGGCUGAAGACUACACUGAGGUGGUGGAGAACGCUUGGAGGGCUCAAGGUACUGGAGCUCACUCACUGCGGGAGACAUGGUCUGGUUUGAAAUAUGUGUCCGGUGCUCUGAAGGAAUGGAGCAAGGUGUCCUUUGGCUGUGUUCGUCGUGCUAUCCAGAGGGCCGAAAGGAGACUCAAGACUCUGCGCAUGUCACCAGUGAAUGCGGCUGUGCUGAAGGAAGAGCGCGAGCUGGAAUGUCAGCUAUGUGAAUUGUUUGAGCGUGAGGAAAUCAUGGCUCGCCAACGGUCUCGGAUCGACUGGCUCCGGGCGGGAGAUCGUAAUACGGAAUUCUUCCAUGCUCGGGCCUCUGCUCGACGACGCACCAAUCGUAUCAAGGCCCUUGUGCGGGAGGACGGGUCAAAAUGUGUCUCACAGGCUGGGUUGAAAGAGAUGGUACAUGAGCUUUAUGAGAAUCUCUUCUUCGCUGAGGACUGCUUCUCUAUGGAGAGUGUUUUGGAUGCUAUCCCAAGGAAGGUUGAUGACAACAUGAACGCUGAGCUGUGCAAACCUUAUAGUAAUGAGGAGAUCAGAGUGGCUCUCUUUCAGAUGGGGCCUACAAAGGCCCCUGGACCGGAUGGUCUACCGGCUAUGUUCUAUCAAACUCACUGGGAUCUGCUCCAGCAUGAUAUUUGCGAUGCUAUUCGCUCUUUCUUGAGUGGUGAGGCUAUACCUGAAGGACUAUGCGACUCUAUCAUUGUCUUAAUCCCUAAGGUACAAAACGCCCAGCACCUCUCCAAGUUCCGUCCUAUUAGCUUGUGCAACGUGUUGUACAAACUUGCAUCUAAAGUUCUUGCCAAUAGGCUGAAGGUUUUUUUGACUGAUAUUGUCUCGGAGUUUUAG
This 1173-nucleotide ribosomal RNA is filed under the name Triticum aestivum (bread wheat). RNAcentral's name for it is "partial small subunit ribosomal RNA". The record is from RNAcentral. Lineage: Eukaryota; Viridiplantae; Streptophyta; Magnoliopsida; Poales; Poaceae.